This 994-nucleotide ribosomal RNA is filed under the name uncultured Corynebacterium sp. Its description in RNAcentral is "bacterial SSU rRNA". It matches the Rfam family "Bacterial small subunit ribosomal RNA", at positions 505 to 1498 of the family's 1533-position model. The record is from RNAcentral. Lineage: Bacteria; Bacillati; Actinomycetota; Actinomycetes; Mycobacteriales; Corynebacteriaceae.
GUGCCAGCAGCCGCGGUAAUACGUAGGGUGCGAGCGUUGUCCGGAAUUACUGGGCGUAAAGGGCUCGUAGGUGGUUUGUCGCGUCGUCUGUGAAAUUCCGGGGCUUAACUCCGGGCGUGCAGGCGAUACGGGCAUAACUUGAGUACUGUAGGGGUAACUGGAAUUCCUGGUGUAGCGGUGAAAUGCGCAGAUAUCAGGAGGAACACCGAUGGCGAAGGCAGGUCUCUGGGCAGUUACUGACGCUGAGGAGCGAAAGCAUGGGUAGCGAACAGGAUUAGAUACCCUGGUAGUCCAUGCCGUAAACGGUGGGCGCUAGGUGUGGGGGUUUUAUUUACGAUUCCCGUGCCGUAGCUAACGCAUUAAGCGCCCCGCCUGGGGAGUACGGCCGCAAGGCUAAAACUCAAAGGAAUUGACGGGGGCCCGCACAAGCGGCGGAGCAUGUGGAUUAAUUCGAUGCAACGCGAAGAACCUUACCUGGGCUUGACAUACACCGGAUCGCUGCAGAGAUGUAGUUUCCCUUGUGGCUGGUGUACAGGUGGUGCAUGGUUGUCGUCAGCUCGUGUCGUGAGAUGUUGGGUUAAGUCCCGCAACGAGCGCAACCCUUGUCUUAUGUUGCCAGCAUUUGGUUGGGGACUCAUGAGAGACUGCCGGGGUUAACUCGGAGGAAGGUGGGGAUGACGUCAAAUCAUCAUGCCCCUUAUGUCCAGGGCUUCACACAUGCUACAAUGGUCGGUACAACGCGCAGCGACACUGUGAGGUGGAGCGAAUCGCUGAAAGCCGGUCUUAGUUCGGAUUGGGGUCUGCAACUCGACCCCAUGAAGUCGGAGUCGCUAGUAAUCGCAGAUCAGCAACGCUGCGGUGAAUACGUUCCCGGGCCUUGUACACACCGCCCGUCACGUCAUGAAAGUUGGUAACACCCGAAGCCAGUGGCUCAAACUCGUUAGGGAGCUGUCGAAGGUGGGAUCGGCGAUUGGGACGAAGUCGUAACAAGGUA